Molecule: long non-coding RNA, 1104 nt
Organism: Pezoporus occidentalis (night parrot)
Lineage: Eukaryota; Metazoa; Chordata; Aves; Psittaciformes; Psittacidae
Exons: 3
Source: RefSeq, a predicted model, not a curated record
CCAGGGGCCACCAGCACCCAUGGGUGGGUGCUGGGGUGCUGCACCCUUGCCUUGGCGAGAAGAAAGGCAGGAGCCUCCCAUCCCAGCCCUUCCCAUGGAGGCAGGGAGCCCUCUGGGGGUCCAUGGCUGGUGCUGGGGACCCCGGUUGGCCAAGGCAAGGAGCCCGCUUUGGGGUGCUGAGGGUGCUGAGGCCACCCGUGAGCAGACUUGGGCACGGUGAGUCCCCGUCCUCGGCUCUUCCGCGCUUCCUGCAUGCUCCGGAGCUGCUGUCCGGGCGAUGGGAAUGGCACCGGGGCGAUGGGAAUGGUACCCAGGGGAUGGGAAUGGUACCCAGGGGAUGGGAAUGCCACCCGAGUGAUGGGAAUGGUACCCAAGUGAUGCAUACGGCACCAGGGCGAUGGGAAUGGUACCCAGGGGAUGGGAAUGGUAUCCAAGUGAUGGGAAUGGUAUCCAAGUGAUGGGAAUGGCACCUAGGUGAUGGGAAUGGUCCCCAAGUGAUGGGAAUGGUAUCCAAGUGAUGGGAAUGGUACCCAGGUGAUGGGAAUGGCACCCGAGCAAUGGGAAUGGCACCCAGGUGAUGGGAAUGGUCCCCAAGUGAUGGGAAUGGUAUCCAAGUGAUGGGAAUGGUACCCAGGUGAUGGGAAUGGUACCCAAGGGAUGGAAAUGGUCCCCAAGUGAUGGGAAUGGUAUCCAAGUGAUGGGAAUGGCACCCAGGUGAUGGGAAUGGUACCCAAGCGAUGCGAAUUGGCACCCAAGCGAUGCAAAUGGCACCCAGGUGAUGGGAAUGGUCCCCAAGCGGUGGGAAUGGCACUGGGGCGAUGGGAAUGGCACCCGGAUGAUGGGAAUGGCACCGGGAUGAUGGGAAUGGCACCGGGGCUCCGGUUAACGAACCCAAAGCAAGAAAAGUCGUCUGAGAAACGCUCUAUUUGCACUUAAACCUUCACACUAAUGGGCCCUUCCCUCCUCUUCCUCCUCUUAUCCCUCUUCCUCCUCCUCCUCCUCGCAGACACAGCCCUUGCCAGUGGAAUUCGCUGCCGGAGCAACCCCGGCCCCACAUCCCAUCCCCAUUCCCAUCCCAUCCCAUCCCCAUCCCCAUCCCAUCCU